Mugil cephalus (flathead mullet) is the source of this 4518-nucleotide RNA transcript. It is a transcript of the gene named ADP-ribosylhydrolase like 1, with no coding region annotated. The transcript is spliced from 9 exons. Lineage: Eukaryota; Metazoa; Chordata; Actinopteri; Mugiliformes; Mugilidae. The record is from RefSeq and is a predicted model, not a curated record.
GAUAACGUGAUGCUUAUACUGUGUGUGUGUGUGUUUGUUUGCUGUUUGCCAACCCUUUUUUGUGUGUGAGGAGCUAGUGAGUGGGAUGUUUGGGUCGUGCUGUUAAGCAGCAGAGACAGAGGAGGAAGUUCUUCAGGAUGUUUGGAGUCGAGAGAGUUUGUUGUGUCUUUUUCUUUUAUGUGACCGUGUGUCUACAGAGUUUGUAAAAAAACGCCACAAAGGAGUUUUCUUUUCUUUUCUUUUCUUUUUUUUUUAAAAUCUGAAUUUCAGUGUGACUACAACGUUCAGGAGAAUACAAACACCAACAAACGCCCAGCAUCAUCAUGGAGAAAUUCAAGGCCGCCAUGAUUCUGGGAUGUGCUGGAGACGCCCUGGGCUACAGAAAGGGCCGCUGGGAGAGCUGCACCUCGGGCAAGAAGAUCCAGGAGGAGCUGGCCUCUCUGGGGGGACUGGCAGCCCUGAAGCUGGACCCUGAUAACUGGCCACUGAGUGAUGCGGCGCUGAUGCAUAUGACCACAGCAGAGGCGCUCGUGACAGAUUACUGGUGUCUGGAGGAUCUGUACCGGGAGCUGGUGCGUCUCUACGUUGAAGCCAUGGUUUCCCUCCAGGGCAGAGCUCCUGAUCCUGCAACCGUGGAGGGCUGCGUUCACCUCAAACCUCACAACUUCCUUCUCGCCUGGCACACACCUUUCAAUGAAAAAGGGUCUGGGUUCGGAGCAGCUGCUAAAGCCAUGUGUGUGGGUAUGCGAUACUGGCAACCUGAGAGGCUAGAAAACCUGGUGGAGGUCAGCAUUGAGGUUGGCAGAAUGACGCACAACCACCCUACAGGCUUCCUAGGUUCCCUGACAACAGCGCUGUUUGCAUCCUACGCCAUCCAGGGGAAGCCUGUUGUGAACUGGGGCCGGGACCUCAUGAAAGUCAUCCCCCGAGCUGAGGAGUAUUGCAAGAAGACCAUACGACACAUGGCAGAGUAUCAGGAAAACUGGUUCUAUUUUGAGGCCAAGUGGCAGUUUUACCUCGAAGAGCGAGAGAUCGACAAGGAGGGGCAGAACAAACCUUCCUUCCCGGAUCGCUACGACGCCGAGGAGACAGACAAAACAUACAAGCGCUGGAGCUCAGAAGGCCGUGCGGGUCGGAGAGGUCAUGACGCCCCCAUGAUAGCUUACGACGCCCUUCUGGCUGCGGGGAGCGACUGGGCCGAGUUGUGUAAACGAGCCAUGUUCCACGGAGGUGAGAGCGAAGCCACAGGCCUGAUUGCGGCUUGUCUCUAUGGCCUCAUGCACGGCCUGAGCCAGGUUCCUCCAGGCCUGUACCAGGAUUUGGACAAACGAGAACGCCUGGAGGAGCUGGGGGAAGCGCUGUUCAAGGCGGCAUCUUCAGAGAAAUGCAUAGACAAACCAGAUUCUGUGAAAACCACUAUCAGCCCCAAUGGCAGUACACUGAGGAAGUUGAUUAGAGACCCCAAAAGCCACCCGGUGCUUCGAGGGAUUCUCGAGAGUCUUCUGCGAUACCUAACACAGGAUCUUCCCAUGUGGACCACCAGACACAGUAACCCGGAGAAGUCAGUCGGUAUUCCAGCACAAACGAACGCAGACUGUCAGACUUCAGUGACUCAGCUUCAGGCAGGCGGCAAGAUGGCUCAGCUUCCUGGGAAAAUGAACCGUGGGGAAACUCCUGAGACCAGUCCCGACAGCUCUGAAAAGUGCUCGUUGGCUCCACAAACAAACAAGCUGCCAAGAAGGUGUGGAGGCGAUCAAAGAGCGGGAGACUUGAUACCCAGGCGCAUUACCACAUUCCAGCUCCUGCAAUCCAAAUUCACAAGGACCACACCCAAACCCACCAUCACCCACCAGAGGGAGGUAGGAAGUCUGUCCUCCAAAAGAGGAGUUCAGGGUCACGUGAACCCAACCAAAGACGAUGAACGUGACGUGCAAAAAAAGGGAAAAGCUAAAAGAGCACAAGACAUAAAGAGACAAGGCAGCGUGAAGGAUAUGGUGGCUAAGUUUGUGAUGGCUGAGCAGAAGGAACAGGGACUGAAAACGCAGAUCAAACCCAGACUCGUUGGAAAGGGGGGCCUCUUACCUUCCUUAAUGGAGAAGUUCGAGGCCAUAGCCACCGUACGCAAGGGGAGCGACUUGAAAUGUUUACACGGAAAGCCUCCCGGAGGAGUCAAGCUAGCAACUAAUAUAAAAGAGAAGGUGGCUUGUCUUGAACGAGAGAAACAAGUGAGAGAUCAAAGUGUCCACAAACAAAACCCGCAGAAGCAAAUAAAUAUUGAACCAGCGGGAGAGAAGUUGGAAGGAAAUCGAAUCACAAAUGGGCAAGAACAAAAACCAGAUCAGGGAGCAGACAUUUUAACAAAAGUGAAGUCAUACACAGAAGAAAAUAAUAAAUUGGAAGCAGACCAACUUUCAGAUCACAGCGUUCACUCUUCAUUAAACCAGGACCGAGUUUAUGACACUGAUGUUAAACAUUCGGGGGCCGAGGACUUUGAUAAAUUUCAGACUGCAGCCGAGGAAACUCAGUGUAUCGCCAACGGAUUAAGACGUGGAUGUCUGGAGGUGCUCUGUUUAACUUCCGUGACAGAGUGGUCACUCCCGCAACCUUUCGUGCUUCUUCCCAAGGAUGAAGCCCCAUUGAACGUUAAUGCGGCGACCAUCACCACCUCCUCUCCUGUGUGGUGCACAUGCGUCGAUUCCUCCCCAGAGCAACAGCUGCACCACAAUAAACCUGAGGCUGAAGAAAGUCAAAACCUGGACAAGAUAUCAAGGAAAAUAAAAGAAAGUUCUUGUGGAGGUCAACCACACUCUCACAGUGUGUCGGUCACAAGUGAAUCCUCCACUACAACAACUGAAGGCAACUUAGAACCAAAAAUCAAAGGCUUUUCCAUGGACGCAUGUCAUGACCCCAUUGAAAAUGGAGAACAAAAUCCCCUGGAGCCUAUGGCCACUCAAAGAGGGCUGCCCAAGUAUGUCAUCCCACGUGUUUACAGGGUUGAUCACAACGAUUCCUCCUUUCAACUGGCGCAGAACCAACAAGCUGUAACUCCACCAUCACAAUCCGAUGCUUCUACGUCCGCUGUGUUAGAGACAAUGGAAACGUUUCGUGACAUCAGCUUUGAUGCAAUAACAAGAAACAAACCAGAAGAGGGUAAACCAAGAGAAAGGAACAGCGAGGCCGAAGAGGAAAAAGAAGUAAUACUAGAAGAAAGAAAACAGACUUGUUUGCCACAAAGUUUUUUCACAAGACUUUGUGAAGACGCUGCUUUUGAAGACAAAGAGACUGUAACACAAACAGAGAUUCGUCCAGAGAGAGGCAACACAAAACUGAGACCAAAGUACAAAACAAUUAACUACGGGGAUCCUUCAGUCAAACAAACAUAUAAACCCAAAAUCAUACGAUUUACGGACACCUUUAAUUUCUAGGUAGUGAGAGAUUAACUCUCAGUGCAGCUUCACACAGCAACUACAAAAGAACAAGUUUGUUUUAAGCUGCACAUGCAGAGCAAACGAACAAUAUCUACUGCACUUAUCUUGUGCAUACAUUACUAAUCUUUGCAAUAUGGAUGCAAAGAUUAUUUUCACAUUCAAUGUCCUUCAACAUUGUGAUUUGGCUGAUAACUUUUAAGUGGCUUACAACAUUUACUGUGGCUUUUACCAAGAGCGUGUCAAGGUUGAAAUGUUGCUACAGCCAACUUCAUUUACUAUAGACUCCUUCACAGUUUGUAAACAGUUAUGAGUUUUUUUUGAGACGUGGGGUUUAACUGGAUGCAAAACAUCUCAAACACUGUAGUUUGUAAACAGUGGUUAGAAUAUUACAAAAGACUGUUUUGGCAAGAAUGGAUGAAGAAAACACGUAUUUUAGAGAAUAUACUAAUACAAAAGUUGACUCGUACUGAUGGGACGACCCCUACACUCUCACUCACUGGAUGGACGAUUUGAGCAAAGGAGGACACAGAGGGGACGAAGUCUGGUCUGUCUUUAUCAAGAGAAGCCUCUCCUACAAAGAUAUUACAAGAAGACAAAGUGACGCUUGUCUGGAGAAGAUGAAUGGUCGCAUGUGGUGCCAAACAUGCCAGUAGCUGGAACUUUGGUCCAAGCCACUGAUCCAACAACCCCGCCCACUGGCAGGAUUACACCAGUGCAGAAGCAUGAGGCUGCAUUUGGAUCGGUAUUUCCACAAGAGGAUAAGAGCCCCAGGCCUACAUGAUCCAUCAUCUGUCCAUCCCCGGGCUAAUCUUGCCAGGGACUGAUGAUAAGGAGUAUGCUGUCGUCACUGAAUGGUCAUGUGCGCAUGGAGGGCAGAAACGCUCUAAUCAGAUUUUAAGUAAUUUGAUUUAGGAAACGUUAAAUGUGGCUCUGGACAAAUUUGCUUGCUUGGUUUUCUACAGAUCCACUGUGAUUCCAAAUAUACACACAGUCUUAUAGCUUAAACACACACAGACACUACUUAGUUUAAAGGUAUUUGAGUCAUCAUCAGUUUCUGUCAACUACUUUAUGAAUCACCACAUGAAACAAA